This 908-nucleotide long non-coding RNA is filed under the name Sus scrofa (pig). RNAcentral's name for it is "lncRNA (ENSSSCG00030005259.1)". Lineage: Eukaryota; Metazoa; Chordata; Mammalia; Artiodactyla; Suidae. The record is from RNAcentral.
CCCGAAUUUCCCAGAAUCCCGUGUUUCGGUUUUGAUGGGGACCCUUGUGGUGCCAGGAGCUCCCUGUGAACCUCUUGAACUUGUGGGGUGACACAAGCAGGGAACCUCGGACACCGUGGUCGGUCACGGUGGAGUCAUAGUUUGGCGAGGGCUCCUCCGUUUCUGUCGUCAGGCAGUCAUCUGACUUGUUCUCUCCUCAUCGCAAACCUGGAUGUGUUGAAACCCAGGGCGGUGCUUCCACACAAAAUAAUUUGUGCCUGGCGAAUGGAACAGAUUUUAAAAGGAAUUGCUCAUGGUGAUUUAGUGAAUUGUCAGGCCAAGUGUGGAAAAGAAAGGAAGAAGGAAGAGAGGAGGCAUCCGUUGAUGAACUUCAGAUGCCAAGAUAAAGGAGACUUGCUUUUCGACGAGAUGACACUGGCCCUGCUGGUCGGGCUUCCGGGGAGAGGAGGUCUGAACUGCUCGGUGAGUUGAGGGUCCCAGGACAGCUGGUCCUGUCGUGCGGCCAAGUCCUAAGGCACCGGACACACAGCAUCUUCCAGGAAGCAAACCUGCACUGAAUCUACUUUUUUUUUUUUUUUUGUCUUUUUGCCAUUUCUUGGGCCGCUCCCGCGGCAUAUGGAGGUUCCCAGGCUAGGGGUUGAAUCGGAGCUGUAGCUACCAGCCUUCGCCAGAGCCACAGCAAUGCAGGAUCCGAGCUGCGUCUGUGACCUACACCACAGCUCACGGCAACCCCGGAUCGUUAACCCACUGAGCAAGGGCAGGGACCAAACCCACAACCUCAUGGUUCCUAGUCGGAUUUGUUAACCACUGCGCCACGACGGGAACUCCUGACUCCACUUUCUUAGGGUCAGUCCAGAGCGGGGUCAAGACUUGCACAGGCACGGAAGUGCUGAUAACACUGAGGGGUG